CCUACGGGUGGCAGCAGUGAGGAAUAUUGGUCAAGGGGCGCGAGCCUGAACCAGCCAAGUAGCGUGAAGGAUGACUGCCCUACGGGGUGUAAACUUCUUUUAUAAAGGAAUAAAGUGAGGCACGUGUGCCUUUUUGUAUGUACUUUAUGAAUAAGGAUCGGCUAACUCCGUGCCAGCAGCCGCGGUAAUACGGAGGAUCCGAGCGUUAGCCGGAUUUAUUGGGGUGAAAGGGAGCGUAGAUGGGUUGUUAAGUCAGUUGUGAAAGUUUGCGGCUCAACCGUAAAAUUGCAAUUGAUACUGGCAGCCUUUAGUACCGUUGAGGUAGGCGGCAUUCGUGGUGUAGCGGUGACAUGCUUAGAUAUCACG
RNAcentral lists this ribosomal RNA (366 nucleotides) under uncultured bacterium. RNAcentral's name for it is "partial 16S ribosomal RNA". It matches the Rfam family "Bacterial small subunit ribosomal RNA", at positions 338 to 701 of the family's 1533-position model. The record is from RNAcentral.